ACGAGUGGGCGAAACGGGGUGAGUAACACGUGGGUGACCCUGCCCCCGCACUUCGGGAUAAGCCUGGGAAACUGGGUCUAAUACCGGAUAGGACCGCACCGUGAGGGUGUGGUGGAAAGUUUUUCGGUGUGGGAUGGGCCCGCGGCCUAUCAGCUUGUUGGUGGGGUAAUGGCCUACCAAGGCGGCGACGGGUAGCCGGCCUGAGAGGGUGGACGGCCACAUUGGGACUGAGACACGGCCCAGACUCCUACGGGAGGCAGCAGUGGGGAAUAUUGCACAAUGGGCGGAAGCCUGAUGCAGCGACGCCGCGUGGGGGAUGACGGCCUUCGGGUUGUAAACUCCUUUCACCAUCGACGAAGGUUUUCUGACGGUAGAUGGAGAAGAAGCACCGGCUAACUACGUGC
RNAcentral lists this ribosomal RNA (404 nucleotides) under uncultured Knoellia sp. RNAcentral describes it as "bacterial SSU rRNA". It matches the Rfam family "Bacterial small subunit ribosomal RNA", at positions 90 to 508 of the family's 1533-position model. The record is from RNAcentral. Lineage: Bacteria; Bacillati; Actinomycetota; Actinomycetes; Micrococcales; Intrasporangiaceae.